CUUUACGGCAGAAUUUUGAAAUACCAUGUGAUGUCUUCGUUAAGAAAUGGUAUGCCUGUAUGGGGUAGUUUGAAUAAGCAACCUGCUAAAAUGCUCCAAAAUGGCAUACAGACCCAUUAACACCAUCUAUGUAAAUCCACACUUAAACAUCUGAAAUUGGGUAUAUUGUUUUACUCAAGUGAUGUAUUGGUAAAUUGGUAAAACAAAAAGGUAGCAAGU
This is a non-coding RNA of Pelobates cultripes (western spadefoot toad), 219 nucleotides long. NCBI's taxonomy places the organism in Eukaryota, Metazoa, Chordata, Amphibia, Anura, Pelobatidae. The record is from the annotation of a GenBank genome assembly.